RNAcentral lists this ribosomal RNA (568 nucleotides) under uncultured Glomus. RNAcentral's name for it is "SSU rRNA". It matches the Rfam family "Eukaryotic small subunit ribosomal RNA", at positions 537 to 1109 of the family's 1831-position model. The record is from RNAcentral. Lineage: Eukaryota; Fungi; Glomeromycota; Glomeromycetes; Glomerales; Glomeraceae.
GUGAUUUUGGAGGGCAAGUCUGGUGCCAGCAGCCGCGGUAAUUCCAGCUCCAAUAGCGUAUAUUAAAGUUGUUGCAGUUAAAAAGCUCGUAGUUGAAUUUCGGGGUUAGUAGGUUGGUCAUGCCUCUGGUAUGUACUGGUCUCACUGAUUCCUCCUUCCUUAUGAACCGUAAUGCCAUUAAUUUGGUGUUGCGGGGAAUUUGGACUGUUACUUUGAAAAAAUUAGAGUGUUUAAAGCAAGCUAACGCUUGAAUACAUUAGCAUGGAAUAAUGAAAUAGGACGUUCGAUCUUAUUUUGUUGGUUUCUAGGAUUGACGUAAUGAUUAAUAGGGAUAGUUGGGGGCAUUAGUAUUCAAUUGUCAGAGGUGAAAUUCUUGGAUUUAUUGAAGACUAACUACUGCGAAAGCAUUUGCCAAGGAUGUUUUCAUUAAUCAAGAACGAAAGUUAGGGGAUCGAAGACGAUCAGAUACCGUCGUAGUCUUAACCAUAAACUAUGCCGACUAGGGAUCGGAUGAUGUUAAUUUUUUAAUGACUCGUUCGGCGCCUUACGGGAAACAAUCGAAUUCCCG